UGCGAUGUGUUCAGACUAAAAAGAGUUG
This 28-nucleotide non-coding RNA is filed under the name Mus musculus (house mouse). Lineage: Eukaryota; Metazoa; Chordata; Mammalia; Rodentia; Muridae. The record is from RNAcentral.